Molecule: microRNA, 20 nt
Filed under: Homo sapiens (human)
Lineage: Eukaryota; Metazoa; Chordata; Mammalia; Primates; Hominidae
Description: hsa-miR-627-3p
Gene: hsa-miR-627-3p
Source: miRBase by way of RNAcentral
UCUUUUCUUUGAGACUCACU